Balaenoptera acutorostrata (minke whale) is the source of this 1046-nucleotide long non-coding RNA. RefSeq lists it as uncharacterized. NCBI's taxonomy places the organism in Eukaryota, Metazoa, Chordata, Mammalia, Artiodactyla, Balaenopteridae. The transcript has 5 exons. The record is from RefSeq and is a predicted model, not a curated record.
UGCGUGCAUAGCAUAUAAGGCAAGUCCCACCCCGAAGCCUAUAUUGCUAUAUUCAGAUUUCUAUGUCAGAAUCUAGAAAACUGGAAGAAAUCAACCAGUAAAUGUUAAAAAGCAAGUCUGAAACAUUGCCUGUUUCCUUAGGCUUCUCUCUGCAUUAAAGAGAGGACAGGAAGAGAAGGUUCUGGGGUAGCAGCGCAAAGAGAGCUUGGCAGACCCUCUUACAUUUCUGUUCCCAUUCUGAAUUUCAUGCUGACCUGCCUGGCGCUGGGAGUUUCAGACGCAGAUAGAGUGGAGAUUUCCAGCCAUGAUGAAUGAUCUUGGACAGAGGCGCUGGUCGGGUAACAGCAAGUGUUAGUGAGAAACGUGAAGCAUUCCGGUGGUGACUUAUUCCAGGAUGGACCUGCAGGCAGAAGCUGACUUCACCGCAUCACUGCUCUGAGCCCUCUGAACCUUCCCUCUCCACUGGAACGUGCCCUUAGUUGAAAUAGUUCCUGAACCAAGGUUAUUUCAGGCCACUUUGGAAAUUCACCCAGGAAGUUUCAGUUGAAGCAGAUUUCAGAUACCUCAUGGCUUCAGAGAUACAUUGUGAGAGGGACUUGACCUGCACCCACUGUUGCUGGCUUUGAAGAUUGAGUGAGGGACCAUCAGCCAAGGCUUCUGGUGGCUUCUAGGAGCAGGGAACGACCCUCAACUGACAGCUGGUUUAUAAAAAGGCAAGCUAUCGUUUCAUGAAAAAUAUCUUGCACCGAUUGAAUACAGGUGGCUGCUUGUUUGGACUUUGAAGAUGUAAAGGCUCAGUAUAGAUGUCUGAAAAAGUGACAUGCCUGCCCAGAGAAUACUGAUGUUCUCCUGUAAACAAGGCCUCGAGAACGGACUGCGGCAUUCUCAGGAACAAAAUGCUGAUUUAUAGCACACCAUAGAUCAAUGUAGCACUGCCUGGAAAAGACCUCGUUUACAUAUCUAGUCUGUGCUUCCACGAUUGAACCAGCAACCGCGUGGCUAGGGGCUGGCUUAAACUUGGCACCCUGGAUUCCCUUAGGAUCUGA